This 597-nucleotide ribosomal RNA is filed under the name uncultured euryarchaeote. RNAcentral's name for it is "bacterial SSU rRNA". It matches the Rfam family "Archaeal small subunit ribosomal RNA", at positions 287 to 884 of the family's 1478-position model. Lineage: Archaea; Methanobacteriati; Methanobacteriota. The record is from RNAcentral.
AGCCCGGAGAUGGAACCUGAGACAAGGUUCCAGGCCCUACGGGGUGCAGCAGGCGCGAAACCUCCGCAAUGUGAGAAAUCGCGACGGGGGGAUCCCAAGUGCCAUUCUUCACGGGAUGGCUUUUCAUUAGUGUAAAGAGCUUUUGGAAUAAGAGCUGGGCAAGACCGGUGCCAGCCGCCGCGGUAACACCGGCAGCUCUAGUGGUAGCAGUUUUUAUUGGGCCUAAAGCGUCCGUAGCCGGUUUAAUAAGUCUCUGGUGAAAUCCUGCAGCUUAACUGUGGGAAUUGCUGGAGAUACUAUUAGACUUGAGAUCGGGAGAGGUUAGAGGUACUCCCAGGGUAGAGGUGAAAUUCUGUAAUCCUGGGAGGACCGCCUGUUGCGAAGGCGUCUGACUGGAACGAUUCUGACGGUGAGGGACGAAAGCUAGGGGCGCGAACCGGAUUAGAUACCCGGGUAGUCCUAGCUGUAAACGAUGCGGACUUGGUGUUGGGGUGGCUUUGAGCUGUCCCAGUGCCGAAGGGAAGCUGUUAAGUCCGCCGCCUGGGAAGCACGGUCGCAAGACUGAAACUUAAAGGAAUUGGCGGGGGAGCACAAUCG